UACAGAGGGUGCAAGCGUUGUUCGGAAUUACUGGGCGUAAAGGGCGCGUAGGCGGUUCUGCAAGUUGGAUGUGAAAGCCCCGGGCUUAACCUGGGAAUGGCCGUUGAAACUGGCGAACUGGAGUGUGGCAGAGGGGGGUGGAAUUCCGCGUGUAGCAGUGAAAUGCGUAGAGAUGCGGAGGAACACCGAUGGCGAAGGCAGCCCCCUGGGCUAACACUGACGCUCAGGCACGAAAGCGUGGGGAGCAAACAGG
RNAcentral lists this ribosomal RNA (253 nucleotides) under uncultured bacterium. Its description in RNAcentral is "partial 16S ribosomal RNA". It matches the Rfam family "Bacterial small subunit ribosomal RNA", at positions 524 to 776 of the family's 1533-position model. The record is from RNAcentral.